UAACAUGUGCAACAGGAUGCAGUUGGUGGUCUAUAAAAGGGCACUACCACCUCAAGCAUACCCAAGCCAAUUUUCUUUGCAGAAACCAUUGAUUAAGAACAGUGUAGCUCUCAAACAAUGGGUCGUAGCAGUUUGUUUAUCCUUUUUCCUCUUCUGCUUCUGACAUUUUCAUCCAUCACAAGGGUUGCAGAAGCACGUCUCACCACAAAAAUACUCUUUCCACCGGAAGAUGACAUUCCUGAUGUGGAAGUUACACUCCCAAUUAAUAUCACACUCCCUGAGCUUGAGUUUCCUAAACUGCCAAUUCCCGACGUAAUUUUUGUUGAGGACGCCAAAAAAACCCCAUGAGUGCCUACACUUCCUCAAAUCUAUCAGUAAUAAUAUCUUCUUCAUUUGCUCCUACUCACUUCUGCAUCUUCAAUGUACUAUUUAUAAAUUUGUUGUUGUUGUUGCAGUAAUUCCAAGGUGGUUCUGUCGGCUGCUUUAUGUGUCCUUCAAUUACUUGUCAUGUUCAGUUUAUAUGUUGUUUCAGACAGUUUUACUGAAGCAUAAUAAUUAUUGUGAUUCGUGAUGUUGUAUCGGACUUCUUGUCUUCUACUUCAAUAAAUUACUGAAUUUCUUUUGUUUGGUAGAAAUCUUCCAUUUCUGAAUUCUCUGACUGUUGUGGAAGCACAAGUUCCUUUCAUUGUCACUUAAUUAAGCUAUUUUUAAGCUUCAUCUGUUUUCUCUUUUGGCACGAUUCGUUUAUCAUCUA
RNAcentral lists this long non-coding RNA (754 nucleotides) under Vigna radiata. RNAcentral's name for it is "long non-coding RNA (VRAD_LNC010756)". The record is from RNAcentral. Lineage: Eukaryota; Viridiplantae; Streptophyta; Magnoliopsida; Fabales; Fabaceae.